Molecule: ribosomal RNA, 322 nt
Filed under: uncultured Bacteroidota bacterium
Lineage: Bacteria; Pseudomonadati; Bacteroidota
Description: bacterial SSU rRNA
Rfam family: Bacterial small subunit ribosomal RNA
Source: RNAcentral
GAUGAACGCUAGCGGGAGGCCUAACACAUGCAAGUCGAACGGGAUUGGGAGCUUGCUCCCAUGAGAGUGGCGCACGGGUGAGUAACGCGUAUGCAACCUACCUUUAACUGAGGGAUAGCCCAUAGAAAUGUGGAUUAAUACCUCAUAGUUCUUUUUGCCCGCAUGGGCAGAUAGAUAAAGCUCCGGCGGUUAAAGAUGGGCAUGCGUGACAUUAGCUAGUUGGUAAGGUAACGGCUUACCAAGGCUACGAUGUCUAGGGGUUCUGAGAGGAUGAUCCCCCACACUGGUACUGAGACACGGACCAGACUCCUACGGGUGGCUG